RNA transcript from Trifolium pratense (red clover), 1427 nucleotides. RefSeq lists it as uncharacterized. Lineage: Eukaryota; Viridiplantae; Streptophyta; Magnoliopsida; Fabales; Fabaceae. The transcript has 6 exons. The record is from RefSeq and is a predicted model, not a curated record.
UGAUGCACGCAAAAAAACAAAACAACCUAAUCUUCUCUCAUCAGCUUCACGCACACAAAGAACAAACUGAACCCUAGCUUUCAAUUUCACCAAAUUGAUCGAACUAGUUCAACAAAUCUUUGUUUCAGCAAAUCGUUCACUCUCUCACUCGAUCGAACUAUCCCUCUCUCUCUCUCUCUCUCUCUCUCUCUCUCUCACACCCGUUCUCCCUCGAACCCUACCCUCCAAUCUCUUUCACUGAAUCACAAAUUCCAAUCCCUAAUUGAAGAAUCAAGGCUUACUGAACCCAAAUAGAAGCUCAAUGAAACGAAUCAAAGCUGAUUUUGGGUUUUCGGUCGGAGGGAGAGGAACAAGCUGAGAGAGCUUUGAUUCUAUUCUCACACAGUGGUGGUCGCAUACCUGUUCUCUCACUAUCGAACUCUCACAAUCUCGUCAUCUCUCUCAUUGAUGAUUACCUAAUUGCAGAAUCAAGGCUCACUGAUAAACGGAAAUUACAUGAAUUGAAGCUCUCUCGUCCCAAAUCGAAGCUCUCCGACUGAAAACGCAAACAGGAUAGCAAAGGCUUUGAACAGUUGUAGUGCUAGCACUGGUGACAUUAUCAGUACCACAUUGAGGCUCAAACAAGAGCUUGAAACUAUAAUACACAAACACAAGAGAUUGUGACAUGUUUCUUAUGUGAUUAUCAGCUCUCCCCUGAAGAGAUGCAAUCUGUUGAAUGGUCUUUGAAGGAACCAAAUGCUAUGGGCUUAUCAACUUUAGGGAAGGAUGGAAAACACUCAUCACGGAUAGUAUUGCUAAAAGGCUUCGACAAGGAUGCAUUUGUGUGGUCAGUAAUAAACUUGUUAGUAUAUAUAUUAUGGCAAAAUGAACUAGUAUAGAACUUGUUAGUAUAUAUUCUUGUAAUUUUAAAUAAGUUUUAGAGGUUUUAUUUGAUGUUGUUGGAAGUAUAUCAGUAUCAAUGUGGUCCUUGUACCUGUUAAAGUCAGAGUGUAAAAAUGGAGAAAUUACUAAGAGAAUCAAAAGGACAAUCAUUGACUCAGGCUGGGUUUCUCUCUUAUUUGAAGUUCGACGUUGUUUAGCUUGAGUUUUGGUAUGUUGCUAUUUAGGAGCUCUUAGGCCUUGUGAACUGUCUUGAUUUGAUGACAGUGUUGGUGUUGUAAUUUAGCUUGAAGCAUGAUUUCAAUGAACUGCUUGUUAAAUUGAUGCAAAGGUCGGGUGAAUAUCUAUUUGGAAGUUAUAACCAGAAUCUUCCCAGGAAUAUUUCCGUCGUAAAAGAAAUUUUUUCUGGACCUAACCGCCUGGGAACUGAGGAAGCUAUUAUUGAGAUGAUUGACUUCAUGGAAAAACAUGGUGGAAUGGGAAUUGGAACUGACGAAGCAUCAAGCGCAACUAUACCUUCCUCUAGUUAUUAGGCUUCAAAUUGGAAC